This 489-nucleotide ribosomal RNA is filed under the name uncultured bacterium. RNAcentral's name for it is "partial 16S ribosomal RNA". It matches the Rfam family "Bacterial small subunit ribosomal RNA", at positions 28 to 507 of the family's 1533-position model. The record is from RNAcentral.
GACGAACGCUGGCGGCGUGCUUAACACAUGCAAGUCGAACGGUGAAGGGACCAGCUUGCUGGUUCUGGAUGAGUGGCGAACGGGUGAGUAACACGUGAGUAACCUGCCCCCUUCUUCUGGAUAACCGCAUGAAAGUGUGGCUAAUACGGGAUAUUCUGGGUCUGUCGCAUGGCGGGCCCGGGAAAGAUAUUGCUUCGGUGGGGGAUGGGCUCGCGGCCUAUCAGCUUGUUGGUGGGGUGAUGGCCUACCAAGGCGGUGACGGGUAGCCGGCCUGAGGGGGGGGGCGGUCACAGUGGGACUGGGAAACGGGCCAGAGUGCUACGGGAGGGAGCAGUGGGGGAUAUUGCAGAAUGGGAGCAAGCCUGAUGCAGCGACGCCGCGUGAGGGAUGGAGGCGUUCGGGUUGUAAGCCUCUUUCGCCAGUGAAGCAGGCCUGCUCCUUGUGGGUGGGUUGACGGUAGCUGGAUAAGAAGCGCCGGCUAACUACGUG